CUACGGGGCGCAGCAGUGGGGAAUAUUGGACAAUGGGCGAAAGCCUGAUCCAGCCAUGCCGCGUGUGUGAAGAAGGCCUUCGGGUUGUAAAGCACUUUCAGUGGGGAAGAAAGCCUUGGGGCUAAUACCCUCGAGGAAGGACAUCACCCACAGAAGAAGCACCGGCUAACUCCGUGCCAGCAGCCGCGGUAAUACGGAGGGUGCGAGCGUUAAUCGGAAUUACUGGGCGUAAAGCGCGCGUAGGCGGUCUGAUAAGCCGGUUGUGAAAGCCCCGGGCUCAACCUGGGAACGGCAUCCGGAACUGUCAGGCUAGAGUGCAGGAGAGGAAGGUAGAAUUCCCGGUGUAGCGGUGAAAUGCGUAGAGAUCGGGAGGAAUACCAGUGGCGAAGGCGGCCUUCUGGACUGACACUGACGCUGAGGUGCGAAAGCGUGGGUAGCAAACAGGAUUAGAUACCCGGGUAGUC
Molecule: ribosomal RNA, 464 nt
Filed under: Vreelandella stevensii
Lineage: Bacteria; Pseudomonadati; Pseudomonadota; Gammaproteobacteria; Oceanospirillales; Halomonadaceae
Description: partial 16S ribosomal RNA
Rfam family: Bacterial small subunit ribosomal RNA
Source: RNAcentral